GAGUUUGAUCUUGGCUCAGAUUGAACGCUGGCGGCAGGCCUAACACAUGCAAGUCGAGCGGAUGAAGGGAGCUUGCUCCUGGAUUCAGCGGCGGACGGGUGAGUAAUGCCUAGGAAUCUGCCUGGUAGUGGGGAUAACGUCCGGAAACGGGCGCUAAUACCGCAUACGUCCUGAGGGAGAAAGUGGGGGAUCUUCGGACCUCACGCUAUCAGAUGAGCCUAGGUCGGAUUAGCUAGUUGGUGGGGUAAAGGCCUACCAAGGCGACGAUCCGUAACUGGUCUGAGAGGAUGAUCAGUCACACUGGAACUGAGACACGGUCCAGACUCCCACGGGAGGCAGCAGUGGGGAAUAUUGGACAAUGGGCGAAAGCCUGAUCCAGCCAUGCCGCGUGUGUGAAGAAGGUCUUCGGAUUGUAAAGCACUUUAAGUUGGGAGGAAGGGCAGUAAGUUAAUACCUUGCUGUUUUGACGUUACAACAGAAUAAGCACCGGCUAACUUCGUGCCAGCCGCCGCGGUAAGACCG
Molecule: ribosomal RNA, 522 nt
Filed under: uncultured microorganism
Description: bacterial SSU rRNA
Rfam family: Bacterial small subunit ribosomal RNA
Source: RNAcentral